Molecule: non-coding RNA, 335 nt
Organism: Oryctolagus cuniculus (rabbit)
Lineage: Eukaryota; Metazoa; Chordata; Mammalia; Lagomorpha; Leporidae
Source: RefSeq, a predicted model, not a curated record
CACGAAUUCCCCCUCUCCCAUGCAGUCACCAACAUCUGUGACCUGGGGGAGCCAGCCCUGAAAGCCCCAAAAACAAGGCAAAUGAUCGAAUCCCAACAUUUCCCCGGAUCUCUGCGGAGUAGUUGGCCAGAGCUGCUCCAUGGAGUGGAGGCUGCUGAGGGCCAAGCACGAGGAGGAGGGGCUCACACGGGCCUCGGGCCAUCAUAGAUGUUUCGCCAAGUUUCCACCUCUGUGCUGUAUCGGUCAAUUCCUGCUGAGUAGUCUUGAACUCGUCUUCGCUCUUUCCUGUGAAACUGGUCAGUGUGCAUAAUAAAUCCAGUGUUGUUCUCAUCUCA